This 497-nucleotide ribosomal RNA is filed under the name uncultured bacterium. RNAcentral's name for it is "partial 16S ribosomal RNA". It matches the Rfam family "Bacterial small subunit ribosomal RNA", at positions 28 to 507 of the family's 1533-position model. The record is from RNAcentral.
GAUGAACGCUGGCGGCGUGCCUAAUACAUGCAAGUCGAGCGAACAGACGAGGAGCUUGCUCCUCUGACGUUAGCGGCGGACGGGUGAGUAACACGUGGAUAACCUACCUAUAAGACUGGGAUAACUUCGGGAAACCGGAGCUAAUACCGGAUAAUAUAUUGAACCGCAUGGUUCAAUAGUGAAAGACGGUUUUGCUGUCACUUAUAGAUGGAUCCGCGCCGCAUUAGCUAGUUGGUAAGGUAACGGCUUACCAAGGCAACGAUGCGUAGCCGACCUGAGAGGGGGAUCGGCCACACUGGAAGUGAGACACGGACCAGACUCCUACGGGAGGCAGCAGUAGGGAAUCGUCCGCAAUGGGCGAAAGCCUGACGGAGCAACGCCGCGUGAGUGAUGAAGGUCUUCGGAUCGUAAAACUCUGUUAUUAGGGAAGAACAAAUGUGUAAGUAACUAUGCACGUCUUGACGGUACCUAAUCAGAAAGCCACGGCUAACUACGUG